This 250-nucleotide ribosomal RNA is filed under the name uncultured bacterium. RNAcentral describes it as "partial 16S ribosomal RNA". It matches the Rfam family "Bacterial small subunit ribosomal RNA", at positions 358 to 605 of the family's 1533-position model. The record is from RNAcentral.
GGAAUAUUGGGCAAUGGAGGCAACUCUGACCCAGCCAUGCCGCGUGCAGGAAGACGGUCCUCUGGAUUGUAAACUGCUUUUGAAUGGGAAGAAUGUGCUCCUUGCGAGGGGUAAUGACGGUACCAUUAGAAUAAGCCACGGCUAACUACGUGCCAGCAGCCGCGGUAAUACGUAGGUGGCGAGCGUUAUCCGGAUUUAUUGGGUUUAAAGGGUGCGUAGGCGGCUUAAUAAGUCGGUGGUUAAAAGUAGC